UCCAGAAUAGCUCUUGGAAACGGGUGGUAAUGCUGGAUGCUCCAACUUGACGCAUGUCUUGUUGGGAAAGUGUUUAGUGGCAUGGGAUGGGGUCGCGUCCUAUCAGCUUGUAGGCGGGGUAAUGGCCCACCUAGGCUUCGACGGGUAGCCGGCCUGAGAGGGCGGACGGCCACAUUGGGACUGAGAUACGGCCCAGACUCCUACGGGAGGCAGCAGCA
Molecule: ribosomal RNA, 218 nt
Filed under: uncultured Gardnerella sp.
Lineage: Bacteria; Bacillati; Actinomycetota; Actinomycetes; Bifidobacteriales; Bifidobacteriaceae
Description: partial 16S ribosomal RNA
Rfam family: Bacterial small subunit ribosomal RNA
Source: RNAcentral